AACGAACGCUGGCGGCAUGCCUAAUACAUGCAAGUCGAACGAGAUCUUCGGAUCUAGUGGCGCACGGGUGCGUAACGCGUGGGAAUCUACCCUUGGGUUCGGAAUAACAGUUAGAAAUGACUGCUAAUACCGGAUGACGACGUAAGUCCAAAGAUUUAUCGCCCAGGGAUGAGCCCGCGUAGGAUUAGCUAGUUGGUGAG
Molecule: ribosomal RNA, 200 nt
Filed under: uncultured bacterium
Lineage: Bacteria
Description: partial 16S ribosomal RNA
Rfam family: Bacterial small subunit ribosomal RNA
Source: RNAcentral